Molecule: ribosomal RNA, 449 nt
Filed under: uncultured bacterium
Lineage: Bacteria
Description: partial 16S ribosomal RNA
Rfam family: Bacterial small subunit ribosomal RNA
Source: RNAcentral
AAUGAACGCUGGCGGCAGGCCUAACACAUGCAAGUCGAACGGAGGAGGAGGGAUUAGUGGCGGACGGGGGAGGAAAGCGGGGGAACAUACCCUUUGGUACGGAAUAGCCUCGGGAAAGGGGGAGUAAUACCGUAUGUGGUCGAGAGAGGAAAGAUUUAUCGCCAAAGGAUUGGCCCGCGGUGGAGUAGGUAGUUGGUGGGGUAAUGGCCUACCAAGCCGACGAUCCAUAGCUGGUUUGAGGGGAUGAUCAGCCACACUGGGACUGAGACACGGCCCAGACUCCUACGGGAGGCAGCAGUGGGGAAUCUUAGACAAUGGGGGAAACCCUGAUCUAGCCAUGCCGCGUGAUCGAUGAAGGCCUUAGGGUUGUAAAGAUCUUUCGCGUGGGAAGAUAAUGACUGUACCACCAGAAGAAGCCCCGGCUAACUCCGUGCCCCCCGCCGCGGUAA